UGAUUUUUGGCUACACGAACUUUCAUAGGUAAAAUCUUAAAAGAUUGUAAAAUUUUAAUAGUUGAUAAUUCUAAAAUUUUAUUUAUUUUUUUCAAAUCUUUUGAAAACACACAUAAAAUAAUAAUUAAAACAAAUUUAAAAUAAAUUGAAAAAAAUAAAAAAAAAUGAAAGAAACAUAGGUAAAAAAAAUCAGCAAAUUAUUCAUUUUUUACGUGUUAUAAAAGUCUCCAACCUUUUUCUUGGAACUGUACAAAAAUAUUUUUUCUAAGGCGAGAAUGUUUUUCAUUUUUCACGUGUUAAAACAAAAUAAAAAUAUUCCUAGGACCAAUUAACUGAACCA
RNAcentral lists this long non-coding RNA (340 nucleotides) under Brassica rapa (field mustard). RNAcentral describes it as "long non-coding RNA (BRAP_LNC001217)". The record is from RNAcentral. Lineage: Eukaryota; Viridiplantae; Streptophyta; Magnoliopsida; Brassicales; Brassicaceae.